RNAcentral lists this long non-coding RNA (295 nucleotides) under Nicotiana benthamiana. Its description in RNAcentral is "long non-coding RNA (NBEN_LNC016535)". Lineage: Eukaryota; Viridiplantae; Streptophyta; Magnoliopsida; Solanales; Solanaceae. The record is from RNAcentral.
AAUGAUUAGCUCGAAAGACAUUCAGGACAUCUCUUUAAGCUCUGAAGGGAGAAAAAGAAACAGAAAAGAUGAUCCAAAUGACUCUCCUGAUCAACAUUUCCAACAUCGACAUCGUACCCGUGAAUAUCCUCGUGCACUGGACAACCCUCCCCAACAUUACUUUUCUCCACAGAACUCCCAAAGACAUACCUCACUCUCCAAAUACCCAGCUCAAUAAAAUGUCUAUCUACCCCCACGAGCAUACCAGAAACCCCCUGGGUCAGGUUUUUGGCCAAAUCAGGCGUGUAAGAAUGAG